CCUACGGGAUGCAGCAGUAGGGAAUCUUCCACAAUGGGCGAAAGCCUGAUGGAGCAACGCCGCGUGGGUGAAGAAGGUCUUCGGAUCGUAAAACCCUGUUGUUAGAGAAGAAAGUGCGUGAGAGUAACUGUUCACGUUUCGACGGUAUCUAACCAGAAAGCCACGGCUAACUACGUGCCAGCAGCCGCGGUAAUACGUAGGUGGCAAGCGUUAUCCGGAUUUAUUGGGCGUAAGGGGAACGCAGGCGGUCUGUUAAGUCUGAUGUGAAAGCCUUCGGCUUAACCGGAGUAGGGCAUUGGAAACUGGGAGACGUGAGUGCAGAAGAGGAGAGUGGAACUCCAUGUGUAGCGGUGAAAUGCGUAGAUAUAUGGAAGAACACCAGUGGCGAAAGCGGCUCUCUGGUCUGUAACUGACGCUGAGGUUCGAAAGCGUGGGUAGCAAACAGGAUUAGAUACCCUAGUAGUC
Molecule: ribosomal RNA, 465 nt
Filed under: uncultured bacterium
Lineage: Bacteria
Description: partial 16S ribosomal RNA
Rfam family: Bacterial small subunit ribosomal RNA
Source: RNAcentral